This 86-nucleotide transfer RNA is filed under the name Candidatus Hydrogenedentota bacterium. RNAcentral's name for it is "tRNA-Tyr". It matches the Rfam family "tRNA". Rfam says of the family: Transfer RNA (tRNA) molecules are approximately 80 nucleotides in length. Their secondary structure includes four short double-helical elements and three loops (D, anti-codon, and T loops). Further hydrogen bonds mediate the characteristic L-shaped molecular structure. tRNAs have two regions of fundamental functional importance: the anti-codon, which is responsible for specific mRNA codon recognition, and the 3' end, to which the tRNAs corresponding amino acid is attached (by aminoacyl-tRNA synthetases). tRNAs cope with the degeneracy of the genetic code in two manners: having more than one tRNA (with a specific anti-codon) for a particular amino acid; and 'wobble' base-pairing, i.e. permitting non-standard base-pairing at the 3rd anti-codon position. The record is from RNAcentral. Lineage: Bacteria; Pseudomonadati; Candidatus Hydrogenedentota.
GGUGGGUUGUCCGAGUGGCUAAAGGAGAUGGGCUGUAAACCCAUUAGCGUAUGCUUACGCUGGUUCGAAUCCAGCACCCACCACCA